This 497-nucleotide ribosomal RNA is filed under the name uncultured bacterium. RNAcentral's name for it is "partial 16S ribosomal RNA". It matches the Rfam family "Bacterial small subunit ribosomal RNA", at positions 28 to 507 of the family's 1533-position model. The record is from RNAcentral.
GAUGAACGCUGGCGGCGUGCCUAAUACAUGCAAGUCGAGCGAACAGACGAGGAGCUUGCUCCUCUGACGUUAGCGGCGGACGGGUGAGUAACACGUGGAUAACCUACCUAUAAGACUGGGAUCACUUCGGGAAACCGGAGCUAAUACCGGAUAAUAUAUUGAACCGCAUGGUUCCAUAGUGAAAGACGGUUUUGCUGUCACUUAUAGAUGGAUCCGCGCCGCGUUAGCUAGUUGGUAAGGUAACGGCUUACCAAGGCGACGAUGCGUAGCCGACCUGAGAGGGUGAUCGGCCACACUGGAACUGAGACACGGUCCAGGCUCCUACGGGAGGCAGCAGUAGGGAAUCUUCCGCAAUGGGCGAGAGCCUGACGGAGCAACGCCGCGUGAGUGAUGAAGGUCUUCGGAUCGUAAAACUCUGUUAUUAGGGAAGAACAAAUGUGUAAGUAACUAUGCACGUCUUGACGGUACCUAAUCAGAAAGCCACGGCUAACUACGUG